This is a long non-coding RNA of Helianthus annuus (common sunflower), 3514 nucleotides long. RefSeq lists it as uncharacterized. NCBI's taxonomy places the organism in Eukaryota, Viridiplantae, Streptophyta, Magnoliopsida, Asterales, Asteraceae. The transcript has 2 exons. The record is from RefSeq and is a predicted model, not a curated record.
UCUCAAAUUCCCAAUAACCUAGAUCCAGAUUUUCUCUUUCUCUUUCUCUUUCUCUUUAUAUUCAUAUUCAUUCACACAAACAAAUUAGGGCUCAAUUCCGCAAUUUCACCAUUGAAGCAGCUUCAACAAGUUAGGUUUAAUACAUUCAGAUUUCUCAACAGAUCAUCGUUAUGAUAACAACAACAACAUCUGCAUUGUGAUUGUAAGACGAUGAUCAUGGCGAACGGCAGUCCUCCGUACGAAUGGCUGUUUGAUGAUGACGAUGACGGUUACGGUUUUGACGUAACCGCCAUGGAAGACAAUCGUUGGAUUUUGAAUCGAUUUUGACGGUUACAGUUUUGACGUAACCGCCAUGGAAGACAAUCGUUUGACGUAACCGUUGGAUUUUGAAUCGAUGUUCAAUUCGAUUGGAGAACAAUCGCGUGGUGACUUUUCGGAGGUAAAAUUCUGAGUUUGUUUGAUUGUUUGUGUUUUAAAAGUGUUUGUGAGUUUGAUUGUGUGAAUACGUAUUGAAUGCGUGAUGUGAUGGUUUGGAUUGAAGGAUUAAGUGUUUUUGAAGAGAUUUUGGAGUGAUUAGUGGUGAAUAUGAGUGUUGUUUUGUAUAAAUGUUUAGAAUGUGAUAUGCUGCUGCAAGUUUAAUGAAGUUUUAAGUGAUUAGAGUGUAUUAUAUGUUUGUGUAAAGGAUUCGAUCUUUUUACAGAUUGCAAAUUGAAUUGAAGUGAAAUAGAAAUUAAAUUCAAGACUCUGUAACUUUAUUAUUGAAUUGAAAUCUUGAUUUAGAGACAAGAAGUUGAGUAGGGAACAAUCUGGAUAUGGUAUUUAUAGCACUUUUAACGCCCUAACUUAUCCAAUUUUGUUGAAUACCGACUCCAGAUGAGUCCUAUGUGGGCGUCACAGUCUCUUUUGGUAGUUUUGUUUAGAAGGGUUUGUGUCAUUGAUGUAAACACGGUUGGGAUUCGUCUGAUUUGUUUGUGUAUGUGUGUAUGUUUAUACCUAGACUUCAUUUUAUGUUUAGUCCUAGAAUUUGUAGUCUGAUCACAAAAUGUGGGGGUGCUUCUAGGUUUCAAGCAUGAUUCUAUGGUUUUGUGUGGAAUUUCCAGAUUAGUUGCAUAUAUUUGUAAAUUUCAUGCUGGUCUUUGUAUUCUAUGUGCUAAUGUCUACUGGUCAACUUGAGUUCGUAGUUUACAAAUGUGUUCCUGGAACGUAGGUCUUGAGCUAAUAUCGGUUAACUGAGUUGGUUAUUUUGUAGUUCUAUAGUUAUUGUUAUUAGAGGUUGGUAAAGGUAAAAACUAUGGCUGUAAACAAACUUAACGUUCAGCGAACAGUUCGUGAAUCGUUGAUGGAAAUGUGAUUUUACGGUUUUCAGCGAUCUUUUACAUACAUGUUCUUUUAAAGAAAGCAAUAAAAAGGAAACGAUGUUUUUUUGUUCCAAAAGGCAUAACUUUCAUAUGUCAAAUAGGAUUGAACAUUUGGUACCAGGUACCGGUACCGAACCAUAUCGGGUAUAUUUGGUACCGGUAUUGGUACCCACUCUUCCCGUUUUUCAAUACCCGGUUGGGUACCUAAUGGGUAUCGUGCUCAUCCCUAAUCGUUUCGUUUACGUAACUAUUGUCAAAUAUGUUAUUCCUAAAAUGCAAGUAUAUGUUUAUAUUUUCUAUGUAUCUUCUUACCGGCAACAAGAUAUGCAUUCUUUGGUAUGAAGUUUUUCAAAUGAUUAAGUUUCUGUUUGUGCAUAGUGUUCUUGGUGGCAUUUUAUUUGGGUUAAUUUGUUUCUUUUAAAUUUUUAAUGGUCAAAUGAGUGAAAUAAAAAAUCUAUCUUAAGCGAAAACGGGUCAAAUAGUGUGAAAGUUUUACAAAAUGUACUUAUAAUGUAUAAAACCAUCCUAAAUUAUUUUAUUAUUAACUAUGUGAUGUUUGGUCAAACACAGGAUUUAACUUUUAAAUAUUAUGCAUAAGAAGUGGUUGUGUUAUGAUAUACAUGCCAAAAAAUAAAAUAAAAAAUAUACGAACAAACUAAAUCUUUUGAGCGUAUUUAGUGAUUGGUGGAAGAUAGGGUUACUGUUGUUGAAUAAGUUUUUAGGGCAUAUAACAUGUGGUUGAUGUUGCAGACUUGGUGAAGUAGUGGUAAUUGGGGAGGUGUUAUUGUUUGAUCAUUUAUAUUAUAGUGGGUGGAGGUAUUAAUGGUUGGUGCUGUAGUUUCACCAACCACUAACAGAUUGAUGGGUACUGACUUUUGAGGUUCUAUGCAUAUGGGGUAAAUGUGCACAUAAAAGUUUUGAUGGGUAUUGACUUUCGAUUCAUAUCGUUUCGACGGGAACCAUACGUCGAAAUGGUUCAAUCCGUACCGCUUCUGCACGUACCGUUUCUACCUGUACCGUUUCGACCAAUACCGUUUCGAAUCGAACUGUUUCGACACGAACCGUUUCGACCCGUACCGUUUCAUAAGUAACUGGCUUGAAAUUGGCAAAUUCGUAUCUUUCUAUUCGUAUAUUCAGUUUAUGAUCAAUUGGAUAAUAUUAUUAUCUUAAAGACCCUUAUGUUCAUUUUUCUGUAACCAAAAGAAUAAAAUAAAUGAUAUUUCUUUCUUGGACCUUUGAUGCAUUAAGUUGAAACUUUUAACUGUGAUGUCACCGUACAAUAUAUAUGAUCGUUAAUAUGGUGGAUGCUUGAUGCAUUUGUGAAUGCUGGAGGCUGAAAGUGGAGAUCAUAGAUGUGGUCAAACUAACGAUGUAAAUGUUAUAUAUUAUGGGCCAAGGUGUGGAUGUUGCAUACUCAUAUGUUUUACAAUUCAGGUCGAUGGAUGAUUCCUUUUAACAGUCAUGAAUAUUGAUUAUUUUUGCUCCAAAAAAAGUGGAACCACUAUUUUUCAAACCCCUUCAACACAUAAAGGGCCUGCAUAUGUACUUUAUAACCCGUAGUUUUAUAACUUCGGGCUAGGAUUAGGCGUAAUGUCAGCUGUUAUGGCAGGUUCAUGCCUCAUAUGGUUUCGUUACUGAGAGGCCGAUUCUUAAGAAAUGAAAGGCCCGUGGAUGAAGAGAGGCUUCCAUCAGUGGCAGCAACUAAGUUAGUCCAGCUAAGACAACGCCACAGUCUCUGGUCUCAGGUAUGUUUUGGCAAAAUUGGCGGAGCAGGCGGGUUGGGUAACGGGUCCAAGCGGGUAACUUUUUUUUCAGGUCAACACGUAUCAGAAUAUAUGCUUUUUUCUUGUGAUUUUCAUCUUUUAUUGGGGCAUGCAUCUUAUAUUUAAAUAGGGAAGGGUUUCGGUCUAGGCUAGCAACCAUUGUUCGUGCUCAAGCAAGCAGUCAACCUGAAAAUUCAUCUCACAACACCACCACUAAUCUUAUUAUGUUCGUGAUCAUUCAUUCCAUGUAACUGUUCCCUAAAAAUCAUAAUAACAUUAUUAUGUUCCAUACACACAAUAUUACACAAAUUUGCAUCAUCAUGUAUCUCGAGAUAUUACAUUAUUUGUCUCAUUGUAGUUUACUAAUUUAUUAUUUCUUGAACGGUUAUUUAA